RNAcentral lists this ribosomal RNA (518 nucleotides) under Cladosporium herbarum. Its description in RNAcentral is "eukaryotic LSU rRNA". The stretch from base 150 to 303 matches the Rfam family "5.8S ribosomal RNA". Lineage: Eukaryota; Fungi; Ascomycota; Dothideomycetes; Cladosporiales; Cladosporiaceae. The record is from RNAcentral.
UCGCCGGGCUUCGGCCUGGUUAUUCAUAACCCUUUGUUGUCCGACUCUGUUGCCUCCGGGGCGACCCUGCCUUCGGGCGGGGGCUCCGGGUGGACACUUCAAACUCUUGCGUAACUUUGCAGUCUGAGUAAACUUAAUUAAUAAAUUAAAACUUUUAACAACGGAUCUCUUGGUUCUGGCAUCGAUGAAGAACGCAGCGAAAUGCGAUAAGUAAUGUGAAUUGCAGAAUUCAGUGAAUCAUCGAAUCUUUGAACGCACAUUGCGCCCCCUGGUAUUCCGGGGGGCAUGCCUGUUCGAGCGUCAUUUCACCACUCAAGCCUCGCUUGGUAUUGGGCAACGCGGUCCGCCGCGUGCCUCAAAUCGUCCGGCUGGGUCUUCUGUCCCCUAAGCGUUGUGGAAACUAUUCGCUAAAGGGUGUUCGGGAGGCUACGCCGUAAAACAACCCCAUUUCUAAGGUUGACCUCGGAUCAGGUAGGGAUACCCGCUGAACUUAAGCAUAUCAAAAGACGGGAAGGAAA